GACGAACGCUGGCGGCGUGCUUAACACAUGCAAGUCGAACGAAGAGCGAUGGAAGCUUGCUUCUAUCAAUCUUAGUGGCGAACGGGUGAGUGACGCGUAAUCAACCUGCCCUUCAGAGGGGGACAACAGUUGGAAACGACUGCUAAUACCGCAUACGAUCCAAUCGCGGCAUCGGGACUGGAUGAAAGGUUGGCGCUAUUUAUAAGCUCUCACUGAAGGAGGGGAUUGGGUCGGAUUAGCUUGUUGGAGGGGUAACGGCCCCCCCAGGCUAUGAACAGUAGCCGGUCUGAGAGGGUGAACGGCCAAAUUGGGACUGGGACAAGGCCCAGACUCCUUCGGGAGGCAGCAGUGGGGAAUCUUCCGCAAUGGACGAAAGUCUGACGGAGCAACGCCGCGUGGGUGAUGACGGCCUUCGGGUUGUAAAGCUCUGUUAAUCGGGAAGGAAGGUUCUUGUGCGAAUAGUGCGAGGAUUUGACGGUACCGGAAUAGAAAGCCACGGCUAACUACGUG
RNAcentral lists this ribosomal RNA (510 nucleotides) under uncultured bacterium. RNAcentral's name for it is "partial 16S ribosomal RNA". It matches the Rfam family "Bacterial small subunit ribosomal RNA", at positions 28 to 507 of the family's 1533-position model. The record is from RNAcentral.